RNAcentral lists this transfer RNA (76 nucleotides) under Candidatus Doriopsillibacter californiensis. Its description in RNAcentral is "tRNA-Ile". It matches the Rfam family "tRNA". Rfam says of the family: Transfer RNA (tRNA) molecules are approximately 80 nucleotides in length. Their secondary structure includes four short double-helical elements and three loops (D, anti-codon, and T loops). Lineage: Bacteria; Pseudomonadati; Pseudomonadota; Gammaproteobacteria; Candidatus Tethybacterales; Candidatus Persebacteraceae. The record is from RNAcentral.
GGGUCUGUAGCUCAGCGGUUAGAGCACACGCUUGAUAAGCGUGGGGUCGUUGGUUCAAAUCCAACCUGACCCACCA